AGAGUUUGAUCAUGGCUCAGGAUGAACGCUGGCGGCGUGCUUAACACAUGCAAGUCGAACGGAGAUUACUUUUAGCUUGCUAAUUGUAAUCUUAGUGGCGGACGGGUGAGUAACGCGUGGGUAACCUGCCUUAUACCGGGGGACAACGAGUUGGAAACGACUGCUAAUACCGCAUAAGCGCACGAUGGGGCAUCUCAUUGUGUGAAAAAACUCCGGUGGUAUAAGAUGGACCCGCGUCUGAUUAGCCAGUUGGCGGUGUAACGGACCACCAAAGCGACGAUCAGUAGCCGGCCUGGGAGGGCAAACGGCCACAUUGGGACUGAGACACGGCCCAAACUCCUACGGGAGGCAGCAGUGGGGAAUAUUGCACAAUGGAGGAAACUCUGAUGCAGCCGACGCCGCGUGAGUGAAGAAGUAUUUCGGUAUGUAAAGCUCUAUCAGCAGGAAAGAAAAUGACGGUACCUGACUAAGAAGCCCCGGCUAACUACGUGCCAGCAGCUGC
This 502-nucleotide ribosomal RNA is filed under the name uncultured bacterium. Its description in RNAcentral is "bacterial SSU rRNA". It matches the Rfam family "Bacterial small subunit ribosomal RNA", at positions 8 to 518 of the family's 1533-position model. The record is from RNAcentral.